ACUGAAACAUCUAAGUACCCGGAGGAGAAGAAAACAAAAGUGAUUCCGAUAGUAGCGGCGAGCGAAAUCGGAUUAGUCCAAACUAAAGUUGUUACGGCAAUUUUGGGGUUGUAGGACCACGUUAUUGAAUGUUUUAUGAAUUAGAAUUCUUUGGAAAAAGAAACCAUAGAGGGUGAUAGUCCCGUAUAAGUAAAGACAAUUAUUCAUAGUGGUAUCCUGAGUAGUGCGGGACACGAGUAAUCCUGUAUGAAUCAAGCGGGACCAUCCGCUAAGACUAAAUACUCCUGAGACACCGAUAGUGAACUAGUACCGUGAGGGAAAGGUGAAAAGAACCUUGAAUAAAGGAGUGAAAUAGAUCCUGAAACCAUACGCUUACAAGCGGUCGGAGCCAUUCGUGGUGACGGCGUGCCUUUUGCAUAAUGAGCCUACGAGUUACCGUUUCUAGCAAGGUUAAGUACUUCAGGUACGGAUCCGUAGCGAAAGCGAGUCUGAAUAGGGCGAUUUAGUUAGUGGCGGUAGACGCGAAACCGUGUGAUCUACCCAUGGGCAGGGUGAAGCUGUAGUAACAUACAGUGGAGGCCCGAACCGAUAUACGUUGAAAAGUGUUCGGAUGACCUGUGGGUAGGGGUGAAAGGCCAAUCAAACUCGGAAAUAGCUCGUACUCCCCGAAAUGCAUUUAGGUGCAGCGUUGAUUUAUAGUUUUAUAGAGGUAGAGCUACUGAUUGGAUGCGGGGGCUUCACC
This 742-nucleotide ribosomal RNA is filed under the name uncultured bacterium. RNAcentral's name for it is "bacterial LSU rRNA". It matches the Rfam family "Bacterial large subunit ribosomal RNA", at positions 192 to 933 of the family's 2925-position model. The record is from RNAcentral.